AUUGAACGCUGGCGGCAUGCCUAACACAUGCAAGUCGAACGGCAGCACGGUUGCUUGCACCUGUUGGCGAGUGGCGGACGGGUGCGUAAUACAUCUGAACAUGUCUUGUAGUUUGGGAUAGCCCUGCGAAAGCCGGAUUAAUACCGCAUACGAUCCAGGGAUGAAAGCGGGGGACCGUCGGGCCUCGCGCUAGCGGGUUGGCCGAUGGCGGAUUAGCUAGGUGGAGGGGGAAAGGCCUACCAAGGCGACGGUCAGUAGCUGGGCUGAGAGGACGACCAUGCAACCUGGGAAUGAGACACGGCCCAGAACCCUAAGGGAGGCAGCCGGGGGGAAUUUUGGAACAUGGGCGAAAGCCUGAACCCGCCAAGCCGGGUGUGUGAAGAAGGCCCUCGGGUUGUAAAGGACUUUUGUCCGGGAAGAAAUCGCUGCCUCUAAUACCGUCGGGGGAUGACGGUAACCGAAGAAUAAGCACCGGCUAACUUCGGGG
RNAcentral lists this ribosomal RNA (487 nucleotides) under uncultured bacterium. RNAcentral describes it as "partial 16S ribosomal RNA". It matches the Rfam family "Bacterial small subunit ribosomal RNA", at positions 29 to 508 of the family's 1533-position model. The record is from RNAcentral.